UACCUGAGUACGGGCGUGGUAAAGAAGAUCAGCAGCUUGAAAAGUUCCACUGGGACAGUUGAUGGGUGUGUUGCCGGCUUUAAGAUACUUAGAAUAAGCAGCGAGGACGAAGCUAGCGGUGGUGGUGUAUUGGAGGUUGUUCCACGGCAAGAACCAAAGCAAACCACCCGGAGUAACCUUAACGUUAUUGGAGCCCAUUUGAACACAGUUGCAAAUGAAAUACUCAGCCAUAUUCUUGAAAUCUUGCAACUUAUCGCCGGUGUUUCCUCCCCUUUCGAGUGCAAGCUGCAUUUGCAAUUAAAAAAGUUAAAGUUUUGUUUGUUUCUUGUCAGACAAAUUAAUGAAAAUAGACAUAUAACCUACCUUGGCCAUCAAGACUUGUGCACCCACGAACUUAUCAUCCCAUGCAAAAAUAGUCCUUUGACCUCCGGUACCAUAUUCUUCCAUUAAAUAGUCGAGAUAAGUCUGGUCAUCAGUGGCACGGUGGAGCCAAGCCGCGGCCCAGAAUAACUCAUCUUGGUAUCCGCUGCUCGGGUAGAAGCCACCUGCGUUAGUUAUGGAGCUUUGGUAGAGCCCAGGGUAAGCCUUGGCGAAUUCAAAUAGAUCUUUUGCAUGACCAAUAAGUUUUGCGCUAUAGGCUGCAUCAUAUUGGGCAAAGGCUAGUGAAGCUGCGGCCAUAGCUGCAGCCGUCUCGCCUGCUAGGUCAGCACCGGGAUGCUGAGCAUCAAUGCGGUAAGAAGGACGGGGAGUUGUCAUGUCCUCGGGUCUCAUCCAGCACGCAUGGUCCGAGUUGCCGUCUCCCACUUGUCCGUAAAGAACAUUGGGCUCUGGGUGGGCGUUGAUGAGAUAGUCAGUGGCCCAUUUGAUAGCCGCAAGGACGUUGUCGUGCUCUUUAUAAGUCUUAAGCUCCGAUUCCAUCUCUACACUGCUCCAUGCUAGCAUUGUGGUCGUGAACGCCAUUGAGAAUCCAAACUUCAUGUUGUCUCCAGCAUCAUAGUACCCUCCAGUGAGAUCAACCUGUUUUUGUUACAGUCGUCAGCACAUUUUGAUAUAUUUUACUUACAAUACUAAAAAGAAGUGAGAUGGAUUUAAAUUACAUGGGCAUCAGAACCGUCUCUAAGUGCAGAAUCUCCUCUCCAGUUGACUCUUUGGUUCGGCGGCAAUUUUCCAGAGCGUUGAGCUUCGAAAUACAAAAGACUCUUUGUGAGAGCUUCUCCAUAAUUAGCCCCAUGAGUCAUCGGCAUUGACAAUAACGCAAUGAAAAGAGUACUUGUCCAUAAGCAUUGUGAAGAGCCACUUCUCAGUUGAGACAUCGUUUUUCUAAUUAAUCUUAUGACCAACUUUUACUUGUGUUUACUUGUAUCUAUCUAUGUGUGCAACUAUUUAUAGGUAAUCUAUAAGAUGGUAUCUAUAGCUAAUUAAGAAUAAUAUAAUUACAAUUUUCUAAUCAGUCACUAAUUACAAUUUUCUAGUAAAAAAAUAUUAUUAUUUAGAUAUGUGUUAUCCGUGAAAUUGUGUUUUGGUCACAUAGUUGACCAUAUAUAUAGUCAACUAGUUGACUAUGGAUAUAUAUGGAUGGAUCUAUAUGACCAAAACACAAUUUUACAGAUAACACAUAUCUAAAUGAUAAUACUUUUUGACUAGAAAAUUGUAAUUAGUUCUCUUUCUUAUUUUAUAUCUUAAGUAUAUCCAUAGUCAAACUAUAGGGAUUUUUUUCAAAAUUGACUCAAAACUUAAAGUCAAUGCAAAACUAAUCCAUGAUUUUUUUGAAAUUUUUAUUUUCUUACUCACCUCAAAAAUUUGGAUUAUUCACGAAAAUGUUAUUAUUAUGUUUUUCUUUACGAAAAUAAGUAUUUUACUCUAUCAUUUUCAUCAAUUAUUUACAAUAUUGUCAUUGUCAUCAAUACACCAACCACUAUUCACAUUAUUACUUAAUUUAACAGAUUAAAACCGAUUUAGAUCGAUUUCAAUCGAAUUUUAAAAAAAUCGCUUCGGAUAGAACUGAUUUGCCGCCUAGACGGAGGCGUAGGUGAAGCCUAGAACAAUUUUUAGAACCAAGGUUAUAUCACAAAUUCACCUAAUUAUAUAGUAUACCAAAGUUUUUUUUUUUAACAAAAGAAAACAAAGAUACUAAUAACGAAAAGUACAAGAAAAUAAUUUAAACAAAUCACAUAACAAUCAAAAAGACCUAAACGAAAAAGACCAAAAUUUUAACUUAACGAAUAAAGAAAAAUUUAUGAAAAAGUAUGAGAGGAAUAAACACUUAAUUGCCACAAAUUAACAAGAAAAAAAACACCCUCAAACCUUGAAACGAUGGCCUAUACAACUAUCGAAAAAAUCACACAUCAACAGCCGCUCAAGAACAUUCCGUCAUUGCACGUCACGGCGGUGCUGUUCUGUUUGAUCGACACUAUAGAGGCUCCUCUAUGGUGUGGACUCUUUGGAUAGUUGGUUCCGAAUCCAACCAUGUAGCUCAUGCUCUUCGGGUUUGAUCCAAGUAUGUAGUCUACCUAUAUAAACCAAUAUUAUCGUGUGUAAAUUGUUAGGCAAUAAAUAUCGUUCGUGGUACUAGGCAAUACCAUAGUGUAUAAUACGUUUUAGCUACCUGAGUACGGGCGUGGUAAAGAAGAUCAGCAGCUUGAAAAGUUCCACUGGGACAGUUGAUGGGUGUGUUGCCGGCUUUAAGAUACUUAGAAUAAGCAGCGAGGACGAAGCUAGCGGUGGUGGUGUAUUGGAGGUUGUUCCACGGCAAGAACCAAAGCAAACCACCCGGAGUAACCUUAACGUUAUUGGAGCCCAUUUGAACACAGUUGCAAAUGAAAUACUCAGCCAUAUUCUUGAAAUCUUGCAACUUAUCGCCGGUGUUUCCUCCCCUUUCGAGUG
Molecule: long non-coding RNA, 2883 nt
Filed under: Brassica napus (rape)
Lineage: Eukaryota; Viridiplantae; Streptophyta; Magnoliopsida; Brassicales; Brassicaceae
Description: long non-coding RNA (BNAP_LNC003901)
Source: RNAcentral